UAUUUAGCCCAUGUGGCCAAAAGGUUGCACAGGAUAUAUAUAUAUAUAUAUAUAUAUAUAUAUAUAUAUAUAUAUAUAUAUAUAUAUAUAUCCUGUGCAACCUUUUGGCCACAUGGGCUAAAUA
Pelobates cultripes (western spadefoot toad) is the source of this 124-nucleotide non-coding RNA. NCBI's taxonomy places the organism in Eukaryota, Metazoa, Chordata, Amphibia, Anura, Pelobatidae. The record is from the annotation of a GenBank genome assembly.